This is a long non-coding RNA of Bos taurus (domestic cattle), 616 nucleotides long. Lineage: Eukaryota; Metazoa; Chordata; Mammalia; Artiodactyla; Bovidae. The record is from Ensembl.
CAGAAUCUCUGGGGGUGGAACCCUGGCAGCUGCAUUUUAAAAAAACUCCCUGAGUGAUUCCAAUGUUCAGCCAAGUUUGAGAAUUGCUGCUCUGGAUAAGACUUACCCUUCCAGUGUGUGUCACUGGGCAAGUCCUUCAUCCUGUUACUAUUGGAGAGCAGGGUCUGGUGGGUCAGCUCUGGUGCUCUGCCAGGUGCCAGCAUGCCGACAUUUGGAAGGUUGCUUCCGAUUGCCCAUUUCAGGUCAAAGAACCAGGGUACCAUCUGAGGACGCUUUCCAGGCUUCAGGGGAGCAAAUCAGACCAUCACUGGGAUCAGGAAGGGGUGAGAAAUGGCACAUUCAGUGGAGCCCUGCCAAGGACAAAUCUUCAUUUGAACCUCAAAGGAAUCCACUGGGAGAACCACAGUCACCAGGGAAUGGAGCAUCCUUUGUUGUUCCUUUGAGAUGGUCCCAGCCCAGUUUCCACAAAGUCAUGCUUUGAAUUCCUUCAGCAUUCUUACAUUUCCUUAUAAUUGUGUUUCCAGGAAAACCCCUAAGCUCUCGACAUCCAGGAAUCUCAUUUACAAAAGAUGCAACUGCAAAGUCCAUUCAAGUAGCUCUUUAAAAAAAAUAAAUC